RNAcentral lists this ribosomal RNA (207 nucleotides) under uncultured delta proteobacterium. RNAcentral's name for it is "partial 16S ribosomal RNA". It matches the Rfam family "Bacterial small subunit ribosomal RNA", at positions 568 to 774 of the family's 1533-position model. The record is from RNAcentral. Lineage: Bacteria; Deltaproteobacteria.
CGCGUAGGCGGUCUUGUAAGUCAGAUGUGAAAGCCCGGGGCUCAACCCCGGAAGGGCAUUUGAUACUGCGAGACUUGAGUAUGGGAGGGGGAAGUGGAAUUCCUGGUGUAGAGGUGAAAUUCGUAGAUAUCAGGAGGAACACCAGUGGCGAAGGCGACUUCCUGGACCAAUACUGACGCUGAUGCGCGAAGGCGUGGGGAGCAAACA